Molecule: long non-coding RNA, 342 nt
Organism: Astyanax mexicanus (Mexican tetra)
Lineage: Eukaryota; Metazoa; Chordata; Actinopteri; Characiformes; Acestrorhamphidae
Exons: 4
Source: RefSeq, a predicted model, not a curated record
GGUCAGAAUCUGCGGGCUACAGCAGGCUUGGCUGAAAUCUGCUUGUGUCACUGAAAACUAAACUCCACCUAAACAGUGUUAAGAAGUAAAAGUCUGUAAAGUCAAAAAUGAACUGGAUACCAGGAAUGCAGUUUGGACUUUUAGUGGUCAUGACUAUUCUCUCGGGACUGACUCCACUGGGUUUUUGUACCAACUGUAAAUUAAAUGAAAACUGCACUAUCAUUGUGUUGUUUGAUGGUGACUAUACUGGACCGGUACCACUGCCAAAUUCUACCUGUAGUAAUCAGUCACGUGUAUCAGAAUCAAACACCUGUGCUUUCUCCUUUGAAACAGAUGAACUGA